GCCUCAUACAUCUAAAUUCAUUCCUGAUUUACCUUUCCUGUUCAAAGAUUACGAACAAUGGUUCGGCAACUACGAUGAAUUGUAUUUUGUCAACAGAUAUCCUG
Long non-coding RNA from Papilio machaon (common yellow swallowtail), 104 nucleotides. RefSeq lists it as uncharacterized. The record is from RefSeq and is a predicted model, not a curated record. The transcript has 3 exons. NCBI's taxonomy places the organism in Eukaryota, Metazoa, Arthropoda, Insecta, Lepidoptera, Papilionidae.